Molecule: ribosomal RNA, 208 nt
Filed under: uncultured bacterium
Lineage: Bacteria
Description: partial 16S ribosomal RNA
Rfam family: Bacterial small subunit ribosomal RNA
Source: RNAcentral
UGCGUAGGUGGCGAUGUAAGUCUGGUGUGAAAUCUCGGGGCUCAACCCCGAAAUUGCACCGGAUACUGCGUUGCUUGAGGAUUGUAGAGGAGAGUGGAAUUCACGGUGUAGCAGUGAAAUGCGUAGAUAUCGUGAGGAAGACCAGUUGCGAAGGCGACUCUCUGGGCAAUUCCUGACACUGAGGCACAAGGGCCAGGGGAGGCAAACG